Molecule: ribosomal RNA, 625 nt
Filed under: Chrysops niger (black deer fly)
Lineage: Eukaryota; Metazoa; Arthropoda; Insecta; Diptera; Tabanidae
Description: 12S ribosomal RNA
Source: RNAcentral
UUUUGUGCCAAGCAGUUGCGGUUAUACAAAAAAUACAAAUAAAUUAUAUUAGAUGUAGUUAAAUUGAGAUAAAUUUAAAUUAAAAUUAAAUUUGUUAGGUGAAAUUUUAAAUUUAUAAUAAUUUAUUUUAAAAAUUAAUUGAAGCUAGAAAAUUUUAAUUAUAAACUAGGAUUAGAUACCCUAUUAUUUAAAAUGUAAGUAUAAAGUCUAGAGUAGUAAUAGUUAUGUUCUUGAAACUUAAAGAAUUUGGCGGUAUUUUAGUCUAUUCAGAGGAACCUGUUCUAUAAUCGAUAGUCCACGUUGGAUCUUACUUAAAUUUGUUUAUCAAUAUGUAUAUCGCCGUUAUCAGAAUAUUUUAUAAGAAUAAUAAUUUUCUAAAUUUUUAAUUAAAUAAUGAUGUCAGGUCAAGGUGCAGUUUAUAUUUAAGUAGAAAUGGGUUACAAUAAAAUAAUUUAAACGGAAAUAAGAUUGAAAUAUUUUAUGGAAGGUGGAUUUGAUAGUAAAAUUAUGUAGAUUAUUAAUUUGAUUAUAGCUCUAAAAUAUGCACACAUCGCCCGUCGCUCUUAUUAUUAAGAUAAGAUAAGUCGUAACAUAGUAGAUGUACUGGAAAGUGUAUCUAGAAUGA